RNAcentral lists this ribosomal RNA (910 nucleotides) under uncultured bacterium. Its description in RNAcentral is "bacterial SSU rRNA". It matches the Rfam family "Bacterial small subunit ribosomal RNA", at positions 33 to 922 of the family's 1533-position model. The record is from RNAcentral.
ACGCUGGCGGCGUGGCCUAAUACAUGCAAGUCGAACGAGAGCGACCGGUGCUUGCACUGGUCAAUCUAGUGGCGAACGGGUGAGUAACACGUGGGUAACCUGCCCAUCAGAGGGGGAUAACAUUCGGAAACGGAUGCUAAAACCGCAUAGGUCUUCGAACCGCAUGGUUUGAAGAGGAAAAGAGGCGCAAGCUUCUGCUGAUGGAUGGACCCGCGGUGCAUUAGCUAGUUGGUGAGGUAACGGCUCACCAAGGCCGUGAUGCAUAGCCGACCUGAGAGGGUGAUCGGCCACAUUGGGACUGAGACACGGCCCAAACUCCUACGGGAGGCAGCAGUAGGGAAUCUUCCGCAAUGGACGCAAGUCUGACGGAGCAACGCCGCGUGAGUGAAGAAGGUUUUCGGAUCGUAAAACUCUGUUGUUAGAGAAGAACAAGUGCUAGAGUAACUGUUAGCGCCUUGACGGUAUCUAACCAGAAAGCCACGGCUAACUACGUGCCAGCAGCCGCGGUAAUACGUAGGUGGCAAGCGUUGUCCGGAUUUAUUGGGCGUAAAGCGAGCGCAGGCGGUUCCUUAAGUCUGAUGUGAAAGCCCCCGGCUCAACCGGGGAGGGUCAUUGGAAACUGGGGAACUUGAGUGCAGAAGAGGAGAGUGGAAUUCCAUGUGUAGCGGUGAAAUGCGUAGAUAUAUGGAGGAACACCAGUGGCGAAGGCGACUCUCUGGUCUGUAACUGACGCUGAGGCUCGAAAGCGUGGGUAGCAAACAGGAUUAGAUACCCUGGUAGUCCACGCCGUAAACGAUGAGUGCUAAGUGUUGGAGGGUUUCCGCCCUUCAGUGCUGCAGUUAACGCAUUAAGCACUCCGCCUGGGGAGUACGACCGCAAGGUUGAAACUCAAAGGAAUUGACGGGGACCC